UAAGGAAUAUUGGUCAAUGGAGGCAACUCUGAACCAGCCAUGCCGCGUGCAGGAAGAAGGCCCUAUGGGUCGUAAACUGCUUUUUGAACAAGGGAAAACCCCGGUACGUGUACUGGGUUGAUAGUAUUGUUAGAAUAAGCAUCGGCUAACUUCGUGCCAGCAGCCGCGGUAAGACGAAGGAUGCAAGCGUUAUCCGGAUUCAUUGGGUUUAAAGGGUGCGUAGGCGGACUGAUAAGUCAGUGGUGAAAUCUCUCGGCUUAACCGAGAAACUGCCAUUGAUACUGUUAGUCUAGAGUACAGAUGAUGUGGGCGGAAUAUGACAUGUAGUGGUGAAAUACUUAGAUAUGUCAUAGAACACCGAUUGCGAAGGCAGCUCACAAAACUGUAACUGACGCUGAGGCACGAAAGUGCGGGGAUCAAACAGGAUUAGAUACCCCCGUAGUCCCUGAGCGGGCUGGCAAGGCGCAU
RNAcentral lists this ribosomal RNA (468 nucleotides) under uncultured bacterium. Its description in RNAcentral is "bacterial SSU rRNA". It matches the Rfam family "Bacterial small subunit ribosomal RNA", at positions 355 to 825 of the family's 1533-position model. The record is from RNAcentral.